This 484-nucleotide ribosomal RNA is filed under the name uncultured bacterium. Its description in RNAcentral is "partial 16S ribosomal RNA". It matches the Rfam family "Bacterial small subunit ribosomal RNA", at positions 30 to 507 of the family's 1533-position model. The record is from RNAcentral.
AUUGAACGCUGGCGGCAGGCCUAACACAUGCAAGUCGAGCGGAUGAAGGGAGCUUGCUCCUGGAUUCAGCGGCGGACGGGUGAGUAAUGCCUAGGAAUCUGCCUGGUAGUGGGGGAUAACGUCCGGAAACGGGCGCUAAUACCGCAUACGUCCUGAGGGAGAAAGUGGGGGAUCUUCGGACCUCACGCUAUCAGAUGAGCCUAGGUCGGAUUAGCUAGUUGAUGGGGUAAAGGCCUACCAAGGCGACGAUCCGUAACUGGUCUGAGAGGAUGAUCAGUCACACUGGAACUGAGACACGGUCCAGACUCCUACGGGAGGCAGCAGUGGGGAAUAUUGGACAAUGGGCGAAAGCCUGAUCCAGCCAUGCCGCGUGUGUGAAGAAGGUCUUCGGAUUGUAAAGCACUUUAAGUUGGGAGGAAGGGCAGUAAGUGAAUACCUUGCUGUUUUGACGUUACCAACAGAAUAAGCACCGGCUAACUUCGUG